AUUAAUUACAUUUUGUUCCAGAAAAUAUUUAACUUUUCUUCAAAAAAGAUAUAUGCAAGACAGAGGACCUAAACUAGUACCAAAACUCAAACCUGACCCUAGCCCAUGCUCGUACACGUGCCAUAUCAUGCCGAGCAGAGUUGGAAUGUGCACGCAUGUGAGCUUUGAACUUAGCUCAGUAUGAUUUAGGUCACCUCCCUUCUAAAGCGAGUGGUACACCUUCAUAUCCAAAUCCAAAGGCCAAACGACCAUCUUAUAAACCAAAUAUUUUUUUCCUCUAUCCCUUACGCAAACCUUAAUGCUUAUGUUGUGUUGAACUAAAAAAUGUAUCUCCAGCGUGAUCAACAAAUCUCAAGACCUCUCACUCUAGAUAAGCCGUAUUUCUAAACACUGGGACAAACCGUUAGACACACGUGACCUUCUCCAGUGGGGAUGGAACCGGCCGCGUGUGUCAGUUUUUGGAAACAAUAUAUUGAGUGUAGGAGGAUUUUUAACAUGAGCCUCCAAUGUGAAACAAGGGGGGUCGGUAUAGGGAGUCAAAUAAGUUAUAGUAUCAAAGUCUAAACUUGUAUUACCCUUCUAAUGGCACCAAGUGUAAGCUUUUAUAGUGGAAGAAGGCGACUAAGAACCGUCGAAUGAGAAGACACGUGGCCUCAUCCAUGUGAAUAUAACUUUCCAUUAUGGGCAUCAAUCAAUCUUGAAACAUAAAUGCCGAUGGUAAUCUACUUUCCAUAAGUUGUGGACUAUGGCAGUAGACUUGACUAAGUAGGUUGGUUGUGGCGAUGGUGACAGAAAGUUGUUACAUCAAUCAUUUCAUCAGAUCUGAUUCAAAAGAUCUUCUACCAAGCUCUUCCUUCAGUCCCCUUUGCCCGAGGGGUUCCGCCCUACGGGGUCGGCUACCACAUGGGUUCGACUAGAACAUGGGUUCGGCCAUAGAAUAGGCUCAUUCACGAGGAUUCGGUUGUAGAUUGACACCCGGGUCGCAUAUAUGGGUUCUAUCCACGUGGGUCCGAUGGCCACAUGGGACAUGUCUCGGGCCUUGUUGGAAAGGGUAUAACAUAUCGCAAGGUCCUUUUUCCUCACGGUUUCCUAUAUGGGACAAAUGUCAACAAAUCUAAUCAAAUUCUUCAACAUUCAAAUUUCAAAGAGGUAACUGAAAGUGUAAAAGGCGUGUUUCACUAAAUUGGAAACUUUGGAGUUACUUAAAAGAAGUGCUAAUUUGUCUUUUUAAUUGGUUUGGAGGGCCACAUGGCAACCACCAAUUGGUUAUUUUACUAAAAUGAGGAUUGUGCUUCUUCACCUCCACGGUAAGAAAUUAGAUCAUAACGUAUGGCUGGGAUAUAAUCUUGAUUUCACAUGGUUUUUAUGACUCUUGUGCUACCUGAUUUUAGAGAGUGGAGUUCUCAUGCUUUCUGGCAAUUUUUGAAAGUGGCUCUCUCUCUCUGAAAUUCUUCCAACUUCUAUUGUGUUUCACUGUGAUUAUUAGAGAGGUUAAAGAAUUGUAUAACCCUUGUGUCAUAGAUUUGAAAGAAAGUUUUCGGUCUGCUGUUUUUUACGGUGGUGCACUGGUUUAGCCAUGUUAGUUCUUGUCAAGUUUAGGGUUGAUUCUUGUAUUUGGUUCUUGAGAUCUUUGUGUGAUCUAUGAUUAGAACUUAGGACAAAGUCUUUGUAUGUUGAUCUCUUUGGAAGGCUAGUUUUACAUAGUGGAUUGGAUUGAUUGUGAUCCCCCCAAAUUAGCCCUUAUUUGGGUGAACUGGGUGACCAAUUUUUGGUAUUCAUUUUCUUUACAUUUUCAACAUUUUAUUUACUGUUUGUGAUGCUGUGAUUUUUGCCGAAUGAUAGAUGAUUUUUGGUUGGAUUGAGUGGCUGAAAAUAUAAGAUCAUUGAGGUAAAAUCAAAUCUGGGACCAAUAAUCUCAACGGUAACUUUAAAAUUAAAUAUUUCAUUCCAUUCUUAAUAUUUUUGGCAAAUAAAUAUAUCAUGUCAAUCAUCUCGUAGAGUAGAAUCUUCUCCAUUGUUGUGCGCCCCUUUUCAACAAGUGAAUGCAUUUGAUAAACAGCAUGACAUUGUUCAACUAGAAAUGGAGCAUUCUAAGCCAAACACCAAUGAAAAUAGUAACCGAUUCUGGUUGUGGAUUUGUGAGACGUGAUUGAUUGAAGGGAUUAUUAAUUGCCUAUCAAAAACUCAAAGGAAGAAUUGGUGAUGGGAUUGUUGCAGAAAAUGCUAUCGUAUGGCUUUACGUGGAUCAUUAAGGGAACAUACAAGUUCUCUUCUCAUUUCACAAGUUCGAAUGGUGAAGGAAUGCUAAUUUACUUGCAUCCUGGUUUCGAAGUUGGAGAGUUUUCCAAAGCCAACAGGUUGCGAAUUUGGUAGAGGUGAUUGAUUCAAACGAGUAUGAAUUGCCAAACAAAAAUUCAAAAUAAAAGGAUCGAAAAGUUGCCAAUGGGGUUGUCGAAGACUUUGCAAAGGAUGCGACUAUGAGGAUACUCAAAGGACCACAAAGGUCCCGUCUCGCUGCACAUGUUGAAACGGUGGAGUAAUGCUAAUUAUUGUUGGAAAAUUACACCGAUAUUAUGCAUAUUAUAUUCACAAAACAUAUCAUUUAUAUUCACGAAAUCGAAAUGCAGUUUCGUCUUACCGAAAUGGAUUUGGAAAGAUGAAACGGCAGAUUCAAUCAUUUCCGUUCUUUAUUUCAAACCUACAUGAAAUCAAAAGAAUGUUAAUUAAUUUUCUGAAAUCAAAUAUGAAGAAAGAAAUCAGAAAGAAUCAAGAUGAGAUGCGAGUGAUGCAAUUGGCCGAGGCAAAUGUUGGACAUUUUGUCCUUAGCAUGAAUUUGCCUCGCAUCGGUGCUAACGAUUUUUCGGCAAUAAUUUCCCAAGAUACAACGACCACGUCGAGUCAUAUGAGCACUCCAAAUGGUUUAGAGCAACGAACUCGAACGAAGUUCCCUCUCUACCAUAACCAUAACUUUGAUCCAAGAGUUUUAUGCAAACUAUCUAAGCAUGAAAUGGAAUGAUACGGAAUUAUGAAUUGAAUUUCU
Molecule: long non-coding RNA, 3040 nt
Filed under: Olea europaea (common olive)
Lineage: Eukaryota; Viridiplantae; Streptophyta; Magnoliopsida; Lamiales; Oleaceae
Description: long non-coding RNA (OEUR_LNC006037)
Source: RNAcentral